GACAGCGCGCGUGGCGAUUUGUUGCCGGAUUGCGGGCCACACGAAACAUUCCGCUAAAAGGCCAGUCGUCGGGGACC
Molecule: non-coding RNA, 77 nt
Filed under: Pseudooceanicola batsensis HTCC2597
Lineage: Bacteria; Pseudomonadati; Pseudomonadota; Alphaproteobacteria; Rhodobacterales; Paracoccaceae
Also listed under: 1 other name
Description: Oceanicola batsensis HTCC2597 Alpha-proteobacteria SAM riboswitch aptamer
Rfam family: Alpha-proteobacteria SAM riboswitch aptamer
About the family: This family is a riboswitch found predominantly in alpha-proteobacteria that binds S-adenosyl methionine (SAM). This SAM riboswitch is located upstream of the metA and metC genes in Agrobacterium tumefaciens, and other methionine and SAM biosynthesis genes in other alpha-proteobacteria.
Source: Rfam by way of RNAcentral